This is a long non-coding RNA of Xenia sp. Carnegie-2017, 265 nucleotides long. RefSeq lists it as uncharacterized. Lineage: Eukaryota; Metazoa; Cnidaria; Anthozoa; Malacalcyonacea; Xeniidae. The record is from RefSeq and is a predicted model, not a curated record. The transcript is spliced from 3 exons.
AUUCAUUGUGAUAAUGAAGCAAAGUUUAGGUGCAGCGAUUGUGGUCCAAUGGCAAAGUAUUGUGAGAACUGUAUGUUAAAGAUGCACACAACCGUAAAUAUUUGUCAUCAUGUUGAAAUAUUUAAGGAUGGCAUGUUUUGGCCAUAUAAACUCAUGAACAUGCUGGUGUAUGAUUGUUCAUGCCAAACAGCUUGUCACAAAAGAAGUGUUUCUGUUGUUGAUGUUAAAGGCACCUUUUGUACUGUUGAGGUACAGUUUUGCUCAU